AUGUCUCGAUCUAUCACUCCAUUACUUGAGCAUACAACAAACAAAGCACAUACAAAAACAACACUGAAGAAGGACAAAACAAGGAAUUCGCAGAAGAGAAAGAAGAGAUGGAGUAGAACGAAGAAGAAGAAGAAGAAAAAGUUUAACGAAGAAAGGGAAAGUGUGGAAGCUUACUAUUACCUUCAUUUUCUCGGAGUUCUCUGGACCUUUUUAUUAACGCCACGGUUGAAGAGCCGUCGGAGCGACUCCGACAGGUAA
This is a non-coding RNA of Vicia faba (fava bean), 258 nucleotides long. The record is from the annotation of a GenBank genome assembly. NCBI's taxonomy places the organism in Eukaryota, Viridiplantae, Streptophyta, Magnoliopsida, Fabales, Fabaceae.